GCCCAUAAAUUACGUCACGCUUUGAGAGAAAGAAGAGAAUCAGCAAAUUGUGACGAGUCAUGAAAAGUUUUAGAAGCCCCAUACGAAAAGUGUGACAUUCCGGGAAGGAAAUGGACCAGUUGCGUGACAUAAUAUGAUAACGUUCUUAAUUGGAUUUUGCAUAUCUGAGAUUGGUAUUCUAGCUAUUUUGUCCUUCUCGGAAAAUGACCAACCAGCUGAUCGCAUUUUCACAAUGUUUUAACAAUUAUUAUUAACCCACACACACAUAUUUACAAUAGUCUGAAUCAUUUUACCAGAAUGCCUCCUUUUGCCUCCUGCAGCGUUUGCUUUAACCCAGCCAAUGAUAUUUGUCGAUUAACCUCACAGUGGUGUUUCCGGAUAUGUACAUAAUCGAUGCACCUGAAAAAGUUAUUAACCGCAAGUGUGCUACAAUGCAAAUUGAUUUCAAUGAACUGCUAAUUGCUCCGGCACCGGAGAGCUUAAUGUAAAAAUAUAAUACUUUCAUGGUUUACCAAUUAUAUUCGUUAAAACAAUGCAUCCUUUUCUGGUUUCUCUCCCUUGCUUGCAGAUUAUUCACCGCAGAAUGCUAACAAGUGCCUGAUUGCCAUUGUCCCGGCCCAAUCACGUGCACCGGAAGAGCCUCUCCUCUGACGUGGUGAGCCCCAACUGAAUUGAAUAUCAAUUGACAGACAUGAAAAUUCAUUAAUCAUUGCCGCAAAACCACAGUUAAUCCAGUGCUGGAUUAUCAUCGUUUGGCCAACUGGUGCUACCGUUUACCGCAAAGCGAACACUCCUGAUCUCACGCAGCUUUCGCCAUUAUUAAGAAGGAUUUUUCUCGCAUCAGCAUUAACCCAGGAAGGAGUGAAUUAAUUCCGUCUCUCACUAGAAAGAUGAGUUGAGCCCGUUCGAGCCUCAGUGCAGAAUCAAAUCGUGUGCCGUCAAAUAUAUAGGGAAGGUAUUUGCUGAAAUGAGUAGCUUACCGGCAUUCAAACGAAGCAGCAGCAGCGGUGGCAACAAGAAGUGGUGCCGCGUUCAGAGUGGCAUGAUAAAGCAAACCGUGGAGUUAACGAUAAAUUGCCGGAACGAAAACGUUUACCGAUAGAAACAGGAGUGCGAUAUUCCUGGUCAGAGCUUGUGUUCGGUUCGGCUGUUGCGAAUAGUCGUCGGCUGCGUCUGGCACUGGCAUUUGAUUGUGGUUUCCCUUCCGGAUAACCGGAGCAAAUCAUCCGUGGCUAAAGGCGACAAACACGCCAAUUGAAAGUGAGGAUUGAAGUGUGGACUUUGGGAGGCGGAACGACGCAGGUUUGUGUAUUUGGAAGGGAAAACAUGUUAUGCCAUUAUCACCUGCUCGUAUGUUUGUCCUGUUUUGUGGCUAAUUGCUGGAGUUCAACGUCGGAGUACCUAAUCAUUCGCCAUGGCAGGUCACGGGUUCGUCAUUCGAGCGAGAAGGAUCACAUCCGGUGGGGUCUGCAGGUGUUCGAUAACUUUACCCUACUGGACUAUGAUACGGUCGAUGAUUCAAACGAAACGAGCAGCACGGGCGAAUUGAGGUCCCUCGUCAAAAAGGCCGGAAAGGGGAGGAUAGGGGUGGAUCAAUUUUCGGAUAAUAGCAAUAAUUCCGAUACGCUCACGAUACAGUUCAGUGAAUCGGAAGAAUUGGACCGAAUGAUUGAUAUCAGCGAUUUUGAUAGUAUAUCAAUCGAAUCUGGAGGUGGCAGCAGUGGGCGGCAGCAGGCAUCCUUCAACAGCUGGAGAAACAAUCGCACCCUUAACCUUCCCUUUUCUGUGGAUUCGAUCCAACGGUUCACUCCUAUCAUGCCAACGGCACAAGGGCAAAAGCUGGUCCCAAAAGGAGUUCCUCAGAAGAAAAAGCUUAUCAAAAAAGAGAUAAUGGAAAACAUACGAAAAACAGUUGAUAAAGGAUUGGAAUAUCUUAAAUCUCACAAGAAUUUAGACGAGGUAAAGAUAGAGCUGAAACCUUUUCGAGCACGUACAAAAGGUACCAAAAACGGCAAUGAAAGGUUGGCACAUUCUUCCAAUCCGGACACGUUAUUGCGAAAAGUUAUUCCCAGUCACGAGCGGUCUCCGCCGGCUGAACGGAAGAAAAACGAGUUGAAACACGUGAAUGGCAAUCGAAAAGAUUACACACAAGUGUCGUCACCUUUUUCAGUCUCCCUCGAAAGUGCGAUUGCUAGUGACGGAGACCAGCUUCAGAGUGCCGAAAGCGAAUUACAACACUCUAUCACUUACCUGAAGGAGAAAUAUUGGAAAAAUGUCAAAAUAAAUAACGACUACACUUUUUUCCGACCGUUGUCGACGGCAACUUUGGAGCGGAAGCAGAUUUUGACCGUAACUACUGCUUCGCCGGAGAAUAACGACUAUCCGAACGACUCACCGCUUCUGGCCAAUGGCGGCGACCAUCGUUAUCCGUUCGCUUCGUCAGAUACUGCUAAUGAAGCUACUAGUUGGACGGAUCAGGGUGAGAAAAAAUCUGGACCAAUUAACGGCAAAACGGACCGUGGAAACAAUGCGGAGGAAAAAUUUAAUUACGAACUACGAAAACAAUCGUUCGAUUCACUUUCCACGGAGACCUUUCAGAACGAUGGACCUGACGGUCCUGCUGACGACGAGGUUAUAAAUAUCCUUAACGAUACGCCGACAAUGAGUUUCGAGCCAAACGAAGCGGAUGCACCGUCUACAAUCAUAUUCAACGGUGCCAAUCUGGACGCAACCCCGGACUCGGACCCGUCGAACUCGGACGAUCCACUGAAUUGGGUUUCGGAUGCGGCGGAUUCACCCGAUGACGUUGGCACCAGUGACAACAAUGGCGAUGAAGCUGAUAUGAGCGAAAUUUUUCGCAUGGAGGACAUAGAUCUGAGCGAGCUGGAUGAAACCAGUAGGAACAAUAGGCGCAAUCUGAUGAAGGGCCGAGAUGUGGUGACGAAGUUUCUUCAAAUCGUCGAAAGUCAACAUCUGCUCGGGUCCAACUGUACGGCUGGCACGGCACUCAAUCUCGGAGAAGGGGUCGUCGACCGUUACGCACAGGACCGGUUUCGCGUCGAAGCGGAAAUCGCCGUGAACAGAGCCAACAUGCUGACGAGGAUCUUCAAGUUCUCGUCAUCCGAGGUCCAAGCGUCGGAACAUCUUCUCCACGCAUCCGUUCUGUCAAUGGUGGAGUUUGACGAUGACAUCUUCGCCGCCGGAAAUUGCUUCGACUGGAACCAGCACUCGGCGAAGAAGGGUUUAUUUUGCCCCUUCGCGUACCGCCUGCCACCGCCGGACCAGGGCGCCUCCCUCGCGAAGGAUCUGGCCGCCGAGUACCACUACUUGGGGAACACGUCGGAGUGGUUUUUUCUCGCCCGGAAGAACGCUGAAAAAGUCAUCGCACGGAACGAACAGUAUAUUAAGUCGUUCCACAUCUACACGAACAACUCGGUCCGCCAGUCGGACGAGAUCCUAUCGGUGAAGUACGAGGACGGCCGUUGGUCUAAGCCGUAUUACGAUUGCGGCGGCGGAAACAUUUGGAUGCUGACAUAUACGGUGCCUUUUUUCGGCUACGAGAACGGAACUUACUUUUUCAAGGGAACAUCCGGCAUAGAUAUUGAUUUACGGCGCGUGGAUAUUGAUCAAUGCCCGCAGAAAAGUUCUCCAUCUGGUGCUCCGCAGCCGCUGAACAUUUUCGCCGGGACGGACAAGUGCAAGCCGCGAACGACAGAGUGUGUUCCGAUUCCGGGGCUGGGCUUCCGUCGUGGAUCGUACCGGUGCGUGUGCCGAAAGGGAUACUACUUCCCCGACACCAGCAUCGAGCAGAAGUGGUUCAAUGGGACCACACUCGAGGAGGAGUACGAAAAAUUGAUGCAGAGCGAAUACAGCACCUACCACGAUGCAUCGUCUUAUCAGUGCCUGCCCUGUGCCGAGGGGUGCGAUUCCUGUCUGGACGCUUCUCCGUGCGUGGCUGCCCUCAACUGGACGAUGCGAACCGGAAUUCUGGUGCUGGCUUGCGCCGUAAUUGGGUUGCUUCCGCCGGCGGCAGUGUUCACUUUCCGCUACCAACAAGUUAAGGUGGUACGUGCUGCAAGUCCAGCUUUACUCCGAGUUAUUGCGCUCGGAGCAUUUUGUAUAUACUGUACGUCCAUCGUGAUGUAUCCACCUCCGUCGUUAUACACCUGCACUGCCCGGGUCUGGCUGCGAGAAAUUGGAUUCUCGCUCACGUAUGGUGCGCUGAUGCUGAAGACGUGGCGCAUAUCAGUCAUCUUUCGCGUGCGUUCGGCGAAAGCAGUGAAAAUCACCGAUGCAUACCUGCUGAAGCGGCUCGGGCUGUUGUGCGGUUUCGUCGGAAUCGCCUUGCUCGUUAGGACGCUCGUUGCACCGCCGGUCGUGAUAGUGGGCCGGACCGCAGACAACCUCAAAGCCUUUCUCUGCAAGACUGACUGGUGGGAUCACACGUUCACUUCCAUGGAAGUCCUGUUCCUGGCGUGGGGCGUUCGGUUGUGCAUCAUGGUUCGGAAGGCCCCCUCGGAGUUCAACGAAAGUCGAUUUAUUUCGAUGGCAAUCUACAACGAAUUCCUUCUGACGUGCUUUCUCAAUGUGUCGAUGUUAUUCCUGCAGUCACCAGCUAAUCCAGAUUUAUUGUACAUAAUAUUUUUCUGCCAUACUCAGCUAACCGUUACACUACUGCUGGGGCUGAUAUUCGGUAGCAAGGUCUAUCUCGUGUUCCGGGGAGGCGGCAAGCACCAGGACGACUCCACCGGGCUCGGCAUCAAGCCAUCUGGUGCAAAAUUCAUUAGUCGGUCCCACGGGCGCACGUUCGCUAAUGCCAGCAGCGUGACGACGUCCACCGCACAGCUGGGAGCAAAUAUAGCAAACGACAGUCGUCUAACAGACGAGGAAGCUAUCGAGGAAAUCAAACAACUGCACAUUCAGCUUCAGCACCUGUAUGAACGGAUACCGCAAAGAGGAAUAGCUAUUACUACUAUCACAUGUCUCAUAGACAUCUGCAAGAAUUCCUCGCUGAAACCUCCUCCUUCUAUUGGAGGGGUUAAAGCAAUUCUGGCCGCUCCUGCUCAGACUAGCCAAACCCAUGCGGACAAGAGCACCAACACUAUCACCCUACCGAAUGGCACCUACAACAACGAUGGAUGGACAGGAUCGGGAGUGAAUCAACCCGAUGCGAAGAUCAUGAUCACCGAUGAUUUUGAUCACACCAAUCGUUCGAUAGAUAAUAGCAAUUUCAACUUGGACAUUCUCCAAUUGAAAUGCAUGUGCAGUGAAGCGGAAGUGGAAGAAGAGAGAGAGCCAAGGUGCGAGUGUCACCACAGUGGAGGAGGACUGGGACAUUCCUGUUACAAUACCGUUAGUAGUUUUAAGCAUAGUGAUUGCUGUGAUAGUGGAAGGGCGAUGCUAGUCAAGCAAAACUCGGAACUGGUGUUGAGUAGUAGUGGCUGCUGCCCGGGAGCUGGCCAACACGGUUCCGGAAGCCAUCCAGCCAAUACUUGUAGUAGUAAGUUUAGUGAAUUGAGUGCGAAAAAUUUCGAAUCAUGUGAUAAUCUGUUGCAUCAACAGCAAAAGCAAAGACAGAAACAAAUUUCCAGUGAUAUCGUAGAUAAUCAUUCCAGUAAACGGCCAAAUUCCAGUGGUCAGUGUUUAGCGACGACCACCUCUUCUCUCAGCGUCGAUGAGAAGAACUUUAGAAACCUUAACCAAGAAAACUUCAAUAAACUUUACGCCAAUCACAACAACAAAAUAGAUAGCUUGAAGGAAAAUUUUCUGAUGCGAACGGCUCUAACCACGGCGCUUCACAAUUUGGAAAACGAGAAUCGCUCACGUAGUCAUCGACUCACCGCGGAAUCCAUGCAGUUUCCCCCGGCAGCCGGCGGUAUCCAACGGAUAUCUCCUACAUGCCCCACCAAAUCGACCGCCAUCACUUCCAACACGACGACAGCUGCCACAGUCAGUAGCAGCAGUAGCAGCAAAUUUCACAACACAUCAACGAUUUCGACACCAACUCCGUCGUGUAGUUCCUCAGCGGCGUCCGUCGUCACAACCACUGCCUCGUCUGGCGGAGGAGGUGCAGCCGUGACGGCGACCGGUUCCAUUGCAGCAACAGCAGCAAGUGGGUCCACUAACGUGGCAGACGUUUCCUCAUCGAGUACACCGACGUCGAGCACCGUCGAUGCGAACGGAACUGCCAGCCAACAAUCAAAGAAGAAAAAAUCACCGGAGAAAAGGUUGGUCAUCGAUCUGAACGACAGGUCCAAGUAUACCGAGGAGGUGUCCGUAUGAGAUUGAUAGGUCCAGUGAGUGGUUGGAGAAAGUUACAUGGCUGAAUCGGAAGCGUUGGAAGAGUCGUUUUGAAAAAUUCGGAUUAUCGAUACUUGUAACAGAUGAUAGCAUAAAUAUACAGGUUGAAAAAUGUGGAAAUGGAGAUAUUUUACAAGCGCAACUGGACAGGCCACUACAAAAUGAGCGCAACAUACACUUAUUGCAGCAGCGUGAAGGAUUCUGUGACAUCAACGAACAAACAACUAUAACCGUUAAACGAACAAAAAAACCCAGCGGCAGUAACACUUAAUUGCAGCAUUUUCCGACAUCCGCGAGCGUGAUUUUGGGCUACCACAACGAACGAAAAAAAAUUGAUUUUAUUUGUACAGUAGCGUGUAUCUUCUUUUUUUCCGGCUCAGUGGAACAUUUAGUCAAUUGAAUUUUGCUUAAGUACUUUUUUCGGUUGGUUUUGUUCGUCGGGAUGAUUGUGGUUCUGCAGAACCAAGAAAAAAAAAGUCACCGAACAAAUGGCGGUGAUGACGCUAAUGAUGACCAUGGAGCUCAUUUAAAUGAUGGGAUUGUAACGGGAAACGACGACGUUGAAGGGAGCGACCAAAUUAAAUGACCUUUUCCGUAGGGAAAAAUCCUCGAGUUGCUCGGUCUUUGGUAUUACAUUUUUUUGUCUUCUUCGAUACAUCUGCAUAUCUGAAAGGGUCCGCUGACAAUUGGGACAGGAGAAUGGGUACGGCCGAGAGAGCCCCUCGGUUGUACAAGCCGCUCUGGUUUGGUUUCAUUGUUCGAAUUCAGGCCAGCGAAAGGUUGGUGCAGCCAAUUGGUUAAAAUUAAUCGAAAUAAUUAAGGUAUGGUUUUCGGUAUCGAGCUUGUUUUUAUUUAAAUUAAUUAACAGAAUUAUCAAAAGAAUGACGCUACUUUUCAAUACCACAGGAGGAUGCGCUUUAACGAGGUUACAGGUCUACGAUAUAUUUUACGACAAUAAAUAAGCAAUCACUACACCGCCAAACCAGACCCGUGCUUUCUAUAAGUUUUUACUUUGACAAAUAAACCCUGGUGUCAGAAUGGACGUUAGCGACACGAUAGCUUGAAUAUCCAAACCAUGGGAGGAUAACCUACUCAACAGACAGGUCCAGGAAGUGUGGGAUUAGGAAACUUCUUCUACAACAAAUGUAAAAGCCAGGACUACCAUUUCCCCGACCCUCUAAACAACACUUUCAUGGCCACCAAACCGUCUCUCCGGAUCAACCAAAAAGGCUUAGCUGCGUAGCCACGAACAUCAAUGACACGCUUUGGGGAGUCCACCAAGGUAGCAUGCUGGCGCUUAGCCAGUUUUCCGAGUGGUCCUUAUCCCUCCCUUUGUCCUCGGAAGGCGGGCAGGGUCGACCAACUGUUCUGCAACGCAGCCGUUUCAGCUACCACCAGAAGGAGUUUCUCCAUCAUCCCGACCCCAAGGUGGUCGAUUUGCAAUUCUGUCUGUUUUGGUGAUCUUCAGGUGUAACGAUAAGGGAAGCUAUGUCGAAAACAUGUUCUACGUAUAUCCGUGUUAUUGGAGACCCAGUCGUAGGCCGUUUUCGUUCAUCAGCUGGUAAGCGCCGAACUUUCUAAUCGUCAGUCUGAAUUCCUCUUCCGGCCUACCUGUGCGCCUAUUUCUCCUUUGAUGAUCUUGACGUCGUGACUUAGGCGACGGUCGUACACGCGUUCGAAUUGUACACGUCGAUGGGUCUAACUAAAUUCGCGUCUCGGCAUCAUCACGACGAAAGCUUUAUCAUUUUGCGUGUUUCCGUAGCUUUAGUACACCUCCUGCGCCGGACACAAACUCCCUAACUUCCCAAAGAACCAUGGCGCACAAUAUAGCUUAGAGUUCUUCACUGACAUUCGAACGUUCAUUAGCCGCGUUCGGAGCGCUAUUGGGAGCCGCUUUUCUUGGAGAAAGUCGCUCAUGCUGCAGAAGCAAACGACCCCUCCUCCCUGUCAACCUACGACCAAAGCUCUCACCGAGAGUGGUUAACCGAUCAUUCCUAGGGUUGUUCGCGACCCGGCCAACACCCCGUGGUGGCACGAAGAGGUGGAAGUAGGAGUUACUGGCAAGAGACGAACGAUCUCAAUGGAAUCUAUAUGGGCUUCGUGGCCGUGCGGCUAGAGGCGUCAGUCAUCUAGGCGUUUCGUAAGCCUCGGAUGUAGGUUCGAUUCCCGCUCCAGUGGGGGAAAACUUUUCGUCAAACGGAAAAUUCUCCACUGGGCCACUGGGUGUUAAGUGUGUUGUCCGUUGUCAUAUGUUAGUGCUUGUUCAGUCUGUACAACCUCUGGUUGAAGAUGGUGUAGUGUCUUUUUUAAAUCACGCUCCACCCAGCCUUCACUGUUCUCUGCAUUGGGCUUGUAACUCAGCUCUGAUGCUUGAAGCAUAUUUUUGGGUUGGUUCCUGUUCGCCCCGUUGAUUUCACCAAUCUGUUAUGUAAACAUGGCAUCUUCUUCUUCUUUACUGGCUUUUAACACCA
Molecule: RNA transcript, 8771 nt
Organism: Aedes albopictus (Asian tiger mosquito)
Lineage: Eukaryota; Metazoa; Arthropoda; Insecta; Diptera; Culicidae
Exons: 14
Source: RefSeq, a predicted model, not a curated record